CGCCAGCAGCCGCGGUAAUACGUAGGGUGCGAGCGUUGUCCGGAAUUAUUGGGCGUAAAGAGCUUGUAGGCGGUUUGUCGCGUCUGCUGUGAAAAUCCGGGGCUCAACCCCGGACUUGCAGUGGGUACGGGCAGACUAGAGUGUGGUAGGGGAGACUGGAAUUCCUGGUGUAGCGGUGGAAUGCGCAGAUAUCAGGAGGAACACCGAUGGCGAAGGCAGGUCUCUGGGCCACUACUGACGCUGAGAAGCGAAAGCAUGGGGAGCGAACAGGAUUAGAUACCCUGGUAGUCCAUGCCGUAAACGUUGGGCGCUAGGUGUGGGGCUCAUUCCACGAGUUCCGUGCCGCAGCUAACGCAUUAAGCGCCCCGCCUGGGGAGUACGGCCGCAAGGCUAAAACUCAAAGGAAUUGACGGGGGCCCGCACA
RNAcentral lists this ribosomal RNA (424 nucleotides) under uncultured bacterium. RNAcentral's name for it is "bacterial SSU rRNA". It matches the Rfam family "Bacterial small subunit ribosomal RNA", at positions 506 to 927 of the family's 1533-position model. The record is from RNAcentral.